GCCUACGGGGCGCAGCAGUGGGGGAUAUUGCACAAUGGGGGGAACCCUGAUGCAGCGACGCCGCGUGGGUGAAGAAGCGCCUCGGCACGUAAAGCCCUGUCAGCAGGGAAGAAAAUGACGGUACCUGAAGAAGAAGCCCCGGCUAACUACGUGCCAGCAGCCGCGGUAAUACGUAGGGGGCAAGCGUUAUCCGGAUUUACUGGGUGUAAAGGGGGCGCAGACGGCGAUGCAAGCCAGAAGUGAAAGCCCGGGGCCCAACCCCGGGACUGCUCUUGGAACUGCGUGGCUGGAGUGCAGGAGGGGCG
This 305-nucleotide ribosomal RNA is filed under the name uncultured bacterium. Its description in RNAcentral is "bacterial SSU rRNA". It matches the Rfam family "Bacterial small subunit ribosomal RNA", at positions 337 to 659 of the family's 1533-position model. The record is from RNAcentral.